RNAcentral lists this microRNA precursor (167 nucleotides) under Paramuricea clavata. The record is from RNAcentral. Lineage: Eukaryota; Metazoa; Cnidaria; Anthozoa; Malacalcyonacea; Plexauridae.
AAUCCGAGGUUGGAAAAAAAUAUGAAAAUUGUUUCAAAAUUCCGAGGUUGGAAAAAAAAAUGAAAAUUUUUUCAAUAUUCCGAGGUUGGAAAAAAAAAAUUUUCAUUUUUUUUUUCCAACCUCGGAAUUUUGAAAAAAUUUUCAUUUUUUUUUCCAACCUCGGAAUU